RNAcentral lists this ribosomal RNA (319 nucleotides) under uncultured soil bacterium. RNAcentral describes it as "bacterial SSU rRNA". It matches the Rfam family "Bacterial small subunit ribosomal RNA", at positions 26 to 327 of the family's 1533-position model. The record is from RNAcentral.
AGAGCGAACGUUAGCGGCGGGCCUAACACAUGCAAGUCGAACGAGAAUGAGGGGGCAACUCCUCUAGUAAAGUGGCGGACGGGUGCGUAACACGUGGGUAAUCUACCUUCCGGCGGGGGACAACAGUCCGAAAGGAUUGCUAAUACCGCGUACGUCAGCGAGACCUACGGGUCUUGUUGGGAAAGAUGGCCUCUCCUUGGAAGCUGUCACCGGAAGAUGAGCCCGCGGCCCAUCAGCUAGUUGGUGAGGUAAUGGCUCACCAAGGCUUAGACGGGUAGCUGGUCUGAGAGGAUGAUCAGCCACACUGGGACUGGCGAAC